Molecule: non-coding RNA, 731 nt
Organism: Phascolarctos cinereus (koala)
Lineage: Eukaryota; Metazoa; Chordata; Mammalia; Diprotodontia; Phascolarctidae
Source: RefSeq, a predicted model, not a curated record
CUUUCCUUGUGCACUGUGUAAGAAGACUACUGUUAAAAUCACAAAACAGUGAGUACAGGGGAUCUUGAGCCUGUAUACGUUUGGCAGAUUGGUUGAACUGUGGUGAUUUUUUUGGCCAGAGCAACUUAUGAAGGUCUGAAGGCCAUCUAAAGAACAGAAGAACUGUGAUUUGUGUCAAUGGAGGGAGUAUACACUUCCAACCCCUGCCCUCUUCCCAGCCCCAAAAUCAUCCAUCCUUGAGGACCUGGAGUUUUGGCCAAUGAUUCAUCAACAGAGGGAAUUCCUGGUGUGGAAACUGCUUUUGCCCUGAUACAGAUUGGCUUCUCCUCUGUAACUUGUACUCUGAGAGAAUUCUCUGGGAUGCUAAAAGUGUAAGUGAGCUCUGAGGGACUGCAGAAGCCAGUUAGUCUGACAGGUUGAGAUGAGGAAACUGAGGUCCAGGGAGAUUGCCUUAGGUUAUACAGGUGAUAAGCACUGGAGGUAGGAUUUGAACCUGAUGUCCUCUGAUGAUGGAGUCAUGGCUCUUUCCACUGUUGUACAGGAUCAGGACUUGACUGUGAAGCCUAGCCCUUCUUUAAGCUAUGUUGCCUCUCUUUGGUUUUGUAUAUUCCCUUCAUUUGGAGCUCAGUUGUGUCUCUUAUUACAGAAGCAAUAAAAAUUCUUCAUUGAUAUGAUUGUAGAUAGACAGAGCUGUAACUAGGGCAGGUACACUGGAGGUUUGCCUCAAGGUA